GAUGAACGCUGGCGGCGUGCCUAAUACAUGCAAGUCGAGCGAACAGACGAGGCGCUUGCUCCUCUGACGUUAGCGGCGGACGGGUGAGUAACACGUGGAUAACCUACCUAUAAGACUGGGAUAACUUCGGGAAACCGGAGCAAAUCCCGGAUAAUAUAUUGAACCGCAUGGUUCAAUAGUGAAAGACGGUUUUGCUGUCACUUAUAGAUGGAUCCGCGCCGCAUUAGGUAGUUGGGCAGUUCACGGCUUUCCACGGCAACGAUGCGUAGACGACCUGCGAGGGGGAUAGGCCACACGAGAAGGUGGACAGCGACAAGGCUCCUGAGGGAGGCAGCAGAAGGGUACGGUACGCAAUAGGCGAAAGCCUGACGGAGCAACGCGGCGUGAGUGAUGAAGGUGUUCGGAGCGUAAAACUCUGUUAUUAGGGAAGAACAGAUUUGGAAGUAACUAUGCACGUCUUGACGGUACCUAAUCAGAAAGCAACGGCUAACUACGUG
RNAcentral lists this ribosomal RNA (497 nucleotides) under uncultured bacterium. RNAcentral describes it as "partial 16S ribosomal RNA". It matches the Rfam family "Bacterial small subunit ribosomal RNA", at positions 28 to 507 of the family's 1533-position model. The record is from RNAcentral.